This 212-nucleotide ribosomal RNA is filed under the name uncultured eukaryote. RNAcentral's name for it is "partial 18S ribosomal RNA". It matches the Rfam family "Eukaryotic small subunit ribosomal RNA", at positions 1299 to 1458 of the family's 1831-position model. The record is from RNAcentral.
UGGUGGAGUGAUUUGUCUGGUUAAUUCCGUUAACGAACGAGAUCUUUACCUGCUUACUAGACACACGAAUCUUUACCAUUUAAGCCUUCGUCAAGGCGUUUGGUCCCGGUCUUCGGAUUUGUGGACCCCCUUGGCGUCGGUGGACUGAUUCGUGGAUGAGCUUCUUAGAGGGACUAUCUGUGUUUAACAGAUGGAAGUUGAAGGCAAUAACA